CAAGGAUUUUCUAAACAGAUUUCCAAUUACUUUCGUGAGGUACAAAGUUUCUUUAUUUUCUAGUGAAUAUAGAAACUUUCUUGGUCUUUUCACUCUAUUUCUGUCCUUUUUUUAGUAGGGGGUCCGAGCAUGAAUGGUGGAAAAGGACUAUGCAGCUAAAGUGGUUCCCCCUAGCUUGGAACAAGUAUCCAAUGACAUGGUGGAAGCUAGAGCCAGAACUAGAGAUGCCAACAAGAAAGGAAGAAGCAUUUACCCAGAUGGCCAAAAAGAAAAAUUUUGUUAUCUGAUUUGAGUGACUUGAGAAGCAGGGAAAUGUGGAUGCAAUAUGACAUGAUAGCCCUCUCUUUGGGAAAAUUGGUUAUGGUUGCAUUACACAGGUUUACUUUGUUUAUGCAAUGGCAAGCUAGACAUUCCUAAAACCAAUGUUUUUUGUCUCCUGGAAACUCUUCCUAUGAGAAACAACAGAAAUUGUCUCUGGAGAAAAACCAAGCAAACUCAAGCAUCAAUAAGCUUCUAUGAAGUGCAAUCUUUCAAGUUUUGGGUUCUCUGCUUUGGAAUUUUCUGGGUUAAUGUAUUGGAUCCCUUGUAAUAAAACAUCUUAAUAGAACAUGAUUUCAUUUUAAUGGGUCAUUCUAGGGCACAGUUGAAAACAUUAUAUUACCCUUCUCUGCAGUAUAGGCUAUUUGAAA
Molecule: long non-coding RNA, 689 nt
Organism: Vitis riparia (riverbank grape)
Lineage: Eukaryota; Viridiplantae; Streptophyta; Magnoliopsida; Vitales; Vitaceae
Exons: 2
Source: RefSeq, a predicted model, not a curated record